CGUAGGGUGCGAGCGUUAAUCGGAGUUACUGGGCGUAAAGGGUGCGCAGGCGGUCCUGCAAGUCAGGCGUGAAAUCCCCGGGCUUAACCUGGGAAUGGCGCUUGAAACUACGGGACUGGAGUAUGGCAGAGGGAGGUGGAAUUCCACGUGUAGCGAUGAAAUGCGUAGAGAUGUGGAGGAACACCGAUGGCGAAGGCAGCCUCCUGGGCCAAUACUGACGCUCAUGCACGAAAGCGUGGGGAGCAAACAGGAUUAGAUACCCUGGUAGUCCACGCCCUAAACGAUGAUGACUAGUUGUUGGAGGAGUUAAAUCCUUUAGUAACGCAGCUAACGCGCGAAGUCAUCCGCCUGGGGAGUACGGUCGCAAGAUUA
This 372-nucleotide ribosomal RNA is filed under the name uncultured organism. RNAcentral's name for it is "bacterial SSU rRNA". It matches the Rfam family "Bacterial small subunit ribosomal RNA", at positions 526 to 896 of the family's 1533-position model. The record is from RNAcentral.